Long non-coding RNA from Uranotaenia lowii, 1033 nucleotides. RefSeq lists it as uncharacterized. The record is from RefSeq and is a predicted model, not a curated record. Lineage: Eukaryota; Metazoa; Arthropoda; Insecta; Diptera; Culicidae. The transcript is spliced from 3 exons.
ACGGCUCUCGUGGAAAUGCCGGUGCACUUAAAGGAAGUUUCAGAAUCGGAACAGCAAGUUUAAAUUCCGAUGAAAAUGAAAUAGUUACAUAUGCGGUACAGUGAUCUUCAUUUUAGUGAUUUAAGUGCUCUUGCAACAAUUAUCGUGUAUUUGCAUCGGAGCAUGGCAGAUCCUCUAAAAGAAGUCCAGCAGAUGCCGAAGGAUGAUUCAAACAGCAUUACCAGGGAAUUCCAGCAGCACCCACUGGGACCGUUUCUAGAAGAAAAUUGAAGCAGAACGUCGCACUAUGGCCUAGCAAGCGCCUACACCAACUAUACCGAACCGAAAGGGGUUUCCCUGGUCCGGCGUCCACGAUGGCUCGGCCUGAGGAAGGCGUCGUUGUCGCUGGUCUGACUGGUGUGCUGGAAGCCAUUUAUGGCAGCUUGUUGUUCAGAAGAGUGGUGCAGCAGCGCAAACCCCAAAUAUAGGAAUGGUGGGCCCCAAAGGGCGAAAAGCUGGCCGACUCCCGCGAAAAGCCGCUUGGCGCCAGCCUGUAGCAGAUUCUUGGAGGUUAGUGGGGUUUUUUCUUCUUAUUUUGCAUUUGCUGCGAUUUGCCAAAACCGAACCAUCAUAUGCCUGACUGCUAGUGGUAGAUGAAAUACCAGUGCCAAAAAUGGGCAAAAUGAAUAAGUAGCACCAUGCGAUUUGGCAAGUACCUUUGAUCGUGGAAAACAUCUGCACCUUCUCUAGUGUGACUCAUAAUUAGUAGGCGUAGGAGCCUUCAUUUCGCGUUGCUAUGCGCCCUUAGUCACACCUGUUAAAGAAAAAAAAAAAUGACAACAUGUGCCAAUAGAGAAAAUAAGGCGCCUUGAAAAGUAGGCUAUGAGUACAGUUUGAUUGUGAACAUUUUUUUUUCAAAUAACAGACAUAGGAAUAGAAAUCAAACACAGAUGUUAAAACUGUGACGCUUUUUGGGUAACGUUCGGUGUAAUUCCUUCAAAUAUCUGAACAAUUCGAUUUCCAGAUAGAGCAAACUGUUGGAUCAGAUUUUUCA